CCUACGGGAGGCAGCAGUGGGGAAUAUUGCACAAUGGGGGAAACCCUGAUGCAGCGACGCCGCGUGAGUGAAGAAGUGUUUCGGCACGUAAAGCUCUGUCAGCAGGGAAGAAAAUGACGGUACCUGACCAAGAAGCCCCGGCUAACUACGUGCCAGCAGCCGCGGUAAUACGUAGGGGGCAAGCGUUAUCCGGAUUUACUGGGUGUAAAGGGAGCGCAGACGGCAGCGCAAGUCCGGGGUGAAAGCCCGCGGCCCAACCGCGGGACUGCCCUGGAAACUGUGCGGCUGGAGUGCCGGAGAGGUAA
Molecule: ribosomal RNA, 305 nt
Filed under: uncultured bacterium
Lineage: Bacteria
Description: bacterial SSU rRNA
Rfam family: Bacterial small subunit ribosomal RNA
Source: RNAcentral